Molecule: long non-coding RNA, 575 nt
Organism: Osmia lignaria (orchard mason bee)
Lineage: Eukaryota; Metazoa; Arthropoda; Insecta; Hymenoptera; Megachilidae
Source: RefSeq, a predicted model, not a curated record
AGAACCGGAAACUUUGAGAGACCGGGAGAAGUUAUGAGAUCGUUCGGUUUAAUCGUUGAUGUUCUUAGGAGACAGAACAAGGUGACUCGAUCCGCUCGCUGUUCAUUCAUAGUCCGCUUCCCUUCCAUUUAACUGGUUUAUGGAUCAGCCUGUAGACGGCAUGGUAGCGAACUCGAGGAUAUCGCGAUGACCGCGUUUCACGUUGUAAUAUCCGAGUGGUAACAAAGCGAAGACACAGAGGCUGUUGUUAGUACACGGUGCAGCGGACGGAACAUUAACAGGAAGUGGUUGGCCACUAGCCAGCCACUAUUUCCUUGGAAUAUUGAUCCGGUAAUGCCCCGUGCAUCGAUUAACACGCUCGAUGAGGCAGCUUUUUCUAUUCGCGCGAUACGAGACAAAUAUGUCCGGUGGAGUAUCUAAAGAUGGAAACCAUCCAACGACGAUCGCCCUCCGAAGAAACUACCGAGCGGUUCGGGUUCAGGCAAGGCUAGUUUGCAUUAUUCGGGGCGAUAAAUGCCACCCGCGUGUCGUUGGACAUGGCACUCGUGUCGUUUACACGACAAACGCAAACACAG